RNAcentral lists this ribosomal RNA (497 nucleotides) under uncultured bacterium. RNAcentral describes it as "partial 16S ribosomal RNA". It matches the Rfam family "Bacterial small subunit ribosomal RNA", at positions 28 to 507 of the family's 1533-position model. The record is from RNAcentral.
GAUGAACGCUGGCGGCGUGCCUAAUACAUGCAAGUCGAGCGAACAGACGAGGAGCUUGCUCCUCUGACGUUAGCGGCGGACGGGUGAGUAACACGUGGAUAACCUACCUAUAAGACUGGGAUAACUUCGGGAAACCGGAGCUAAUACCGGAUAAGAUAUUGAACCGCAUGGUUCAAUAGAGAAAGACGGUUUUGCUGUCACUAAUAGAUGGAUCCGCGCCGCAUUAGCUAGUUGGUAAGGUAACGGCUUACCAAGGCAACGAUGCGUAGCCGACCUGAGAGGGUGAUCAGCCACACUGGAACUGAGACACGGUCCAGACUCCUACGGGAGGCAGCAGUAGGGAAUCUUCCGCAAUGGGCGAAAGCCUGACGCAGCAACGCCGCGUGAGUGAUGAAGGUCUUCGGAUCGUAAAGCUCUUUUAUUUGGGAAGAACAACUGUGUAUGUAACUCUUCCCGUCUUGACGUUACCUACUCAGAAAGCCCCGGCUAACUACGUG